Long non-coding RNA from Crotalus tigris (Tiger rattlesnake), 964 nucleotides. RefSeq lists it as uncharacterized. Lineage: Eukaryota; Metazoa; Chordata; Lepidosauria; Squamata; Viperidae. The transcript is spliced from 3 exons. The record is from RefSeq and is a predicted model, not a curated record.
CAACGAUCUGGUACACGCCGAAAGGCAAAAGCCCGGAGGAGGAAGACGAGGAGAAAGACGACGAAAAAGUAGGGCCCGCUCCUCAAGCUAAGCCUCCAUAGCCCAAAGCUACAUCUUGUCGGCGUCCCCGGAGCCGAGGCAGCAAAAUUGGGGAUUAAAAUCACCUCGUGGAGUGCUCUGGGCGGAUCGGCAAAAUCAAUCUCGACGUAACAACCAGCUAUUAAUGAAUUUCCGAGCAUAUGCAGAGUGCCUCGACGAUUACCCUUAACGUAUUACCCUCCCACAUGAAUAAAGGAAGCCAAGGGGAAAGUCCUGCUCGUCAGUCACCUCUUCUUCUGCAGCCAAAAAUGCUACAGACCUCCUUGAAUGGCAUUAUGGGUGAUCACAUCAGGCCUGCAAAAGUCCCGGUGACCACAGAUGGCAGCAAAAACGGAAACAUCUAACUUGGCUGCCAUGAAGCUUUUUAUAAUCCAGAAUGGAGAGCCUGAGUGACAUCUUCUCUUUCAUUUCUUGAAAGCCUCUACUGAAUUACUAUCACCUCUCCUCACUGGCUGGUUUGCAGAUGUUUUCUUUCUUCUUUUUCUGGCUAAGAUCAAGUUGAUGAACUCUUCAUUGGUCCUCAUGGCGGGGGUGGGUGGGAAUUGCCUAGAACAGGGGUCCCCAAACCCUGAUCUGUGAAAUGGCAUCAGUCCAUGGCAUACCAGUGUUGAAAGAAAAGUCUUCAUCCUGGUUCAUCCAAGCCGGGGAUAAAUAAACAACAUGGCAACUGCUUUAGAAAGAAGGUUGCAGUUUAUUGAAGAGCCAGACCGAAAGAUGGUUCUGGCAGGAAAGAGAGAAAAACUGGGCAAAGCACAUGUGGCAAGUAGGUUUUUAUACCCUCUGAAAGCCUUUUGUUUGGAAUAGUUUUCUGUUUCUGUUUUAGGCUUUGUAUUUCCUGUGUCACGUAUUCUGACCUGAGUCUGGG